AUGCCGGCCGUGUCCUUGAGCUCCCUCAAGCUCCAGGCCCUGCUGCCCCUGCUGCCCCUCUCAGGGUCCGGGUUUGAUUUCAGGAAUGUGAACAUGUACUGGGUCCGCCAUAGACCUAGACAGGGGCUGGAGUUCGUGACAGAGAUCAGCUAUGAUCUUUCCAGAACCUACUACGCCCCAUUGGUCAAGGGCCGGGUCACUGCGGCCGUGACCCUGCUGGAGUGCGGGGGGCACGUCCAGCCCCCCGGGGGGUCCCUGCGCCUCCUCUGCCGAGGGGCCGGGUUCAGUCUUGGGAGUGUUGCAAUGGGAUGGAUGCGCCAGAGACCCGGGCAGGGGCUGGAAUUCAUCGCCAGUAUCAGCUACAAUGGUUGUAGCACCAGCUACGCGCCAUCAGUCAAGGGCCGGUUCACGAUCUCCAGGGACAACAGGCAGAGCUCGGUGGCGCUGACCAUGAACAACCUCAAGGACGAGGAUUCCGCCUACUAUUUCUGUGCC
Melozone crissalis (California towhee) is the source of this 495-nucleotide non-coding RNA. The record is from the annotation of a RefSeq genome assembly. NCBI's taxonomy places the organism in Eukaryota, Metazoa, Chordata, Aves, Passeriformes, Passerellidae.